This 267-nucleotide unclassified non-coding RNA is filed under the name Hevea brasiliensis (rubber tree). Lineage: Eukaryota; Viridiplantae; Streptophyta; Magnoliopsida; Malpighiales; Euphorbiaceae. The record is from RNAcentral.
AAAAAAUCUUAUUUGCAUUGGAUAGUAGUUUGUCCUUAUUCAUUAAUAAAAUUAUGGAACAGAUUUUAUAAUCUCAUUUUGGAGAUGUUCACUUUGUUUUUAUGUUCUAUGUAAGGUUAUGUAAGGUGGUAGUCAUGCCUACUUAUAAUGACUGAAGCUGACAUACACUUGGCUUUUAGAUAAAUACUAUCCAUUGCUGAAAUAGGCAGGAGAUCGUUGUGUUGAGAACCAAUUCCAUCAUUGACUAUGAUUGUGAAUAUCUUUUGA